Molecule: non-coding RNA, 229 nt
Organism: Anabaena sp. 90
Lineage: Bacteria; Bacillati; Cyanobacteriota; Cyanophyceae; Nostocales; Nostocaceae
Rfam family: HNH endonuclease-associated RNA and ORF (HEARO) RNA
Source: Rfam
GUCAGUAACCCAGCCCUAAAGGGACUGGGCUUGCAAGAAUAAUCAAGCAAGCCGUACUGACCAGACCACCCUGAGUCUACUCUCAUGGUAGCCGUUAUUUGAGUCACGACACCCACCGAAUGCGUUGCCAGUUCCCUGCUCUGUCGCUUGUGAUUAAACAGUUCUAAGGUCACUGGAACAGUGUUGCAAGCUCAAGCAAGCUCUUAUAACAGGUCGAGGCUAACAUUAC